Molecule: ribosomal RNA, 515 nt
Filed under: uncultured bacterium
Lineage: Bacteria
Description: bacterial SSU rRNA
Rfam family: Bacterial small subunit ribosomal RNA
Source: RNAcentral
CUACGUGCCAGCAGCCGCGGUAAUACGGAAGGUCCGGGCGUUAUCCGGAUUUAUUGGGUUUAAAGGGAGCGUAGGCCGGAGAUUAAGUGUGUUGUGAAAUGUAGACGCUCAACGUCUGACUUGCAGCGCAAACUGGUUUACUUGAGUACGCGCAACGCAGGCGGAAUUCGUCGUGUAGCGGUGAAAUGCUUAGAUAUGACGAAGAACUCCUAUUGCGAAGGCAGCUUGCGGGAGCGUUACUGACGCUGAAGCUCGAAAGUGCGGGUAUCGAACAGGAUUAGAUACCCUGGUAGUCCGCACGGUAAACGAUGGAUGCCCGUUUUUGGCUUGUUUUAAGCCAGAGACCAAGCGAAAGCAUUAAGCAUCCCACCUGGGGAGUACGCCGGCAACGGUGAAACUCAAAGGAAUUGACGGGGGCCCGCACAAGCGGAGGAACAUGUGGUUUAAUUCGAUGAUACGCGAGGAACCUUACCCGGGCUUGAAUUGCAGACGACGUAUUUAGAGAUAGAUAUUCA